RNAcentral lists this ribosomal RNA (292 nucleotides) under uncultured bacterium. Its description in RNAcentral is "partial 16S ribosomal RNA". It matches the Rfam family "Bacterial small subunit ribosomal RNA", at positions 505 to 796 of the family's 1533-position model. The record is from RNAcentral.
GUGUCAGCAGCCGCGGUAAUACGUAGGAGGCGAGCGUUGUCCGGAAUUACUGGGUGUAAAGCGCGUGUAGGCGGAUGGCCAAGUCUGGGGUGAAAGCACCCGGCUCAACUGGGGAGUGUCCCUGGAAACUGGUCAUCUGGAGGACGGUAGAGGCGAGUGGAAUUCCCGGUGUAGUGGUGAAAUGCGUAGAGAUCGGGAGGAACACCAGUGGCGAAGGCGGCUCGCUGGGCCGGCCCUGACGCUGAGACGCGAAGGCGUGGGGAGCGAACGGGAUUAGAUACCCUCGUAGUCC